UAGGAAAACUUACUUUUGUGUAAGCCUGUGAGGUAAGCCUCGACUUCUAAACUAACUUCGUAAGCUAUAGAACUAAAAGAGCAUAAUCGUAAUGUGAUACGAAUAGUCGGAAGGAAUUUAACAUUUAUUUAAAAACUAUAUAUAUGUAUUUAAAAACCGCUAUAUUACAAAGUCUUUAACUAUAUUUUUAUGAAUCUGUAUAAUUUUUUAGAAUUUUAAAAGGAUACAUAUAUAUAUGCAAGCUCCCUAGAUUUCAUGUAGGAUAGGGAUUCUUUUUGUUUCGCGGGUAGCACGACAGGCUGUGUUUCACGGACAGACCGAUCUUCCCGUGUUUUACGGACGACCAUUUUAAGCACGUUUUUCCGGAACGGACGGACAGACAUUAGAGACAAACAAGGUUACGGAAUAGUUAUUUAAGAUUUUAAAGACUGAAGAAGAAAGAUCGGUAGCUCAGGACGUUGAAAAUCGAUUCUCAAUUUUCAUACUACAGAAUCGAUUCCUGAAUUAUCACCAAAUUACGAUCUUACAAAUCGAUUUUCACUACGCCAUGCCGUUAGAAGUGAAGCUACGUAUCGCCAUGAACGAGAACGCAAGGGGGGGGGGGG
Bombus terrestris (buff-tailed bumblebee) is the source of this 605-nucleotide long non-coding RNA. RefSeq lists it as uncharacterized. The record is from RefSeq and is a predicted model, not a curated record. The transcript has 2 exons. Lineage: Eukaryota; Metazoa; Arthropoda; Insecta; Hymenoptera; Apidae.